This 253-nucleotide ribosomal RNA is filed under the name uncultured bacterium. RNAcentral describes it as "partial 16S ribosomal RNA". It matches the Rfam family "Bacterial small subunit ribosomal RNA", at positions 524 to 776 of the family's 1533-position model. The record is from RNAcentral.
UACGUAGGGGGCGAGCGUUGUCCGGAAUUAUUGGGCGUAAAGAGCGUGUAGGCGGUUCGGUAAGUCUGCCGUGAAAACCUGGGGCUCAACCCUGGGCGUGCGGUGGAUACUGCCGGGCUAGAGGGUGGUAGAGGCGAGUGGAAUUCCGUGUGUAGCGGUGAAAUGCGUAGAUAUCAGGAAGAACACCCGUGGCGAAGGCGGUUCUCUGGGACGGUACUGACGCUGAGACGCGAAAGCGUGGGGAGCGAACAGG